GACGGGGUGAAGAUGGCGGCCUUCUCCGAGAUGGGUGUAAUGCCUGAGAUUGCACAAGCUGUGGAAGAGAUGGAUUGGCUCCUCCCAACUGAUAUCCAGGCUGAAUCUAUCCCAUUGAUCUUAGGAGGAGGUGAUGUACUUAUGGCUGCAGAAACAGGAAGUGGCAAAACUGGUGCUUUUAGUAUUCCAGUUAUCCAGAUAGUUUAUGAAACUCUGAAAGACCAACAGGAAGGCAAAAAAGGAAAAACAACAAUUAAAACUGGUGCUUCAGUGCUGAACAAAUGGCAGAUGAACCCAUAUGACAGAGGAUCUGCUUUUGCAAUUGGGUCAGAUGGUCUUUGUUGUCAAAGCAGAGAAGUAAAGGAAUGGCAUGGGUGUAGAGCUA
RNAcentral lists this unclassified non-coding RNA (385 nucleotides) under Hevea brasiliensis (rubber tree). The record is from RNAcentral. Lineage: Eukaryota; Viridiplantae; Streptophyta; Magnoliopsida; Malpighiales; Euphorbiaceae.